Panicum virgatum (switchgrass) is the source of this 2430-nucleotide RNA transcript. It is a transcript of the gene named BUD13 homolog, with no coding region annotated. The transcript has 8 exons. NCBI's taxonomy places the organism in Eukaryota, Viridiplantae, Streptophyta, Magnoliopsida, Poales, Poaceae. The record is from RefSeq and is a predicted model, not a curated record.
CGGCCCGGCCCAGCUGAAGAGUCCACACGCGCUCCCUCCGCCUCUCGCAUCUCCCGACCCGACCCCGCCAGGCACCGCUGCACCGGUCGUCGCCGGCGCGACGGACUUGAGCGGUGCAUCGCGCCCGGCUGCUGCGGCAAGUGGGCGGAGCAGGAUAGCAGCGGCCGCUCGGCUAAGCAGCCAGCUGAUUCGCUUCCGUCUACUGGCUUUGCUUUCGGGGAUUUGGGGAUCCGGCACCGCACCGGCGGAAAGGGGGUCAGCCAGCCAUGGCGGCGAGGCAGCCGCCGCCGUCGUCCGCCUCCGCGCCCGCGGGGGGGCUCUCCAUGAAGGAGUACCUCAAGAGGUACCAGUCGGGCCCGGGCGCCGACGGGGACCAGAAGAAGGCGAAGAAGAAGACGAAGAAGAAGCCCAAGCCCGCCGCCGGGGGAGGCGGGGUGCUCAUCGUCGACGAGGACCCUGUGUGGCAGAAGCCCGUACGGGUGGAGGACGACGAGCCCGCGUCGUCAGGUGACGACAGGCCUCUGGUGGAUGAGGACAUCGAGGUCAAGCGGAUGCGCCGCCUGGAGGCAAUACGCACGGCGCGGCCGUACAACGCCAUUGCGGAGGACGGCAGCGGGUGGGUCACUGUGGCGGCCCCGGAGGAGCAGGGUGGUGGGUCGACCCGCCGCCGCAGGAAUGACACGCCGUCACCGGAGCGGGGAGGUGCUGGGAGCAAGGACUUUUCUCCUCCACGUCGGAGGCAGCGGCGUGACACGCCCUCACCUAAGCCUGGUGAUGCUGCUGGGAAGGAAAUCUCGCCACCGAAGCAGAGGCGGAGGCGCCAGGACACACCAUCGCCAAAGGGCAACGGUGCAGCUGAUCAGGAUGACAUGUCACCACCACGAAAGCCUAGGAGGCAACAAGACCCCUCGCCACCGAGGAGACGUGCUCGUAAUGACUUUGAGGAGCCCCAGGACCUCGAGCUGCUGAGGAGGCGUGUGAGACAUGACUCUGAGGAGCCGCAGGACAUGUCACCACCACGAAGGCAUAGGCAUGAUUCAGAGGAGCCGCAGGACAUGCCACCACCACGGAGGCGAAUGCGGCAUGAUUCUGAGGAGCCUCAGGACAUGUCACCACCACGAAGGCGUAGGCAUGAUUCAGAGGAGCCCCAAGACAUGUCACCACCACGGAGGCGAAUGAGACAUGAUUCAGAGGAGCCGCAAGACCUCUCUGUGCCACGUCGAAGAGCACGGCAUGACUUAGAGGAACCCAAAGACUUAUCCCAACCUCGGCGACGGAGACGGCAUGAUUCAGAAGAGCCCGAAGACAUGCCACCACAGAGGAGGAAGUACCAGGACUCUACAAAGGUGGAUGAUCUGUCGCCUCCAAGAAGGAGAAAUAUGGGGCAAAAUCCAGAUUUUUCACCACCAAGGAAGGGUAAGAAGGAAGGAGCCCAAAAACAGGCAAGGAAAGCUGGACUGAUGACAGCAGAGGAAGUUAAAGAGGACAUCAAAAAGAUUAAGGAGGAUGAGAUGCUCAAGUUCGCAGCGUAGGAUCCCUCAUUGGUUGGGAAAGGGGCAAAGGCUGUAUUCCGAGAUAAGGAAGGGAAACGGAUAAGUGAAGAAGAGAUGCGCAAGUCAAAGGAAUCUGAAAAGCCGAAGGAAAUACAUAUAGAAUGGGGUAAAGGAUUGGCGCAGAAGCGAGAAGCCGAGGCUAGAUUAAAAGAGCUUGAAGCUGAGAAGAGUAAACCAUUUGCUCGAACAAGGGAUGACCCUGAGCUUGACUCUAUGCUAAAAAACAGAAUCCGAUGGGGUGAUCCUAUGGCUCACCUUGUCAAGAGGAAAGAUCCAGAAUUUCUCCUUGAAGACUUUGGAGACGAUGAAAAGAUGAAAGAAUCUGGUUUCAUAGUUCCCCAAAAUAUACCUAGUUACAGUUGGCUGAAACGUGGAGUAGACCCCCCUCCAAAUCGUUAUGGCAUAAAGCCUGGGCGUCACUGGGAUGGCGUGGAUCGCAGUAAUGGAUUUGAGAAGGACAUGUUCAAGCUAAAGAACGAGAAGCAAGCAAUGGAGCAAGAGGCCUAUCUUUGGUCUGUGUCAGAUAUGUGAUCCCAGCUGCUGUUCCAAGACAUGAAUUCUGAAGGGACUAAUGUGGUCUGAAGGAAGAAACAAAGAGACUAUUCAAACGUUUUUCUUUAAACACACAAAAUGACCACGCUGGUGGGUGCUGUGUUUGCUGGAAAGCCCAAUGAAGCAUUGAUUUUGUUACAUGUAUUUGUUGAAACUUGUUACUACUCGUACUUCUUUUGUUAUCCUUGACAUUUUGUAAUAUAGGUAGACAUACAUGCUGCAAAGACGCAGUUUUUGGACUAGUACAGAAGAUGAGAUUUGGAGUGAAUAGUUUGUCACUUUCUGCUGCUUUCCAUGUGAAUAGUUUGUCUCCGUUUUGAAUCUA